RNAcentral lists this microRNA precursor (95 nucleotides) under Tetraodon nigroviridis (spotted green pufferfish). Its description in RNAcentral is "miRNA (ENSTNIG00000020278.1)". The record is from RNAcentral. Lineage: Eukaryota; Metazoa; Chordata; Actinopteri; Tetraodontiformes; Tetraodontidae.
ACACACACACAUUCGUUCGCACACACACACACACACACACACAUAUGAAUAUGUGUGUGUGUGUGUGUGUCACUGCAACGCUGACGAAAUCAAUA